RNAcentral lists this unclassified non-coding RNA (316 nucleotides) under plant metagenome. Its description in RNAcentral is "partial contains 5.8S ribosomal RNA, internal transcribed spacer 2, and large subunit ribosomal RNA". The stretch from base 1 to 105 matches the Rfam family "5.8S ribosomal RNA", at positions 50 to 154 of the family's 154-position model. The record is from RNAcentral.
AAAAUGCGAUAAGUAAUGUGAAUUGCAGAAUUCAGUGAAUCAUCGAAUCUUUGAACGCACAUUGCGCCCGCCAGUAUUCUGGCGGGCAUGCCUGUUCGAGCGUCAUUUCAACCCUCAAGCCCCCGGGUUUGGUGUUGGGGAUCGGGCUGCGGUUCUACCGCGUCCCGGCCCCGAAAUCUAGUGGCGGUCUCGCUGCAGCCUCCAUUGCGUAGUAGCUAACACCUCGCAACUGGAACGCGGCGCGGCCAAGCCGUUAAACCCCCAACUUCUGAAUGUUGACCUCGGAUCAGGUAGGAAUACCCGCUGAACGUAAGCA